This 605-nucleotide ribosomal RNA is filed under the name uncultured bacterium. RNAcentral describes it as "bacterial SSU rRNA". The stretch from base 1 to 532 matches the Rfam family "Bacterial small subunit ribosomal RNA", at positions 338 to 873 of the family's 1533-position model. The record is from RNAcentral.
CCUACGGGAGGCAGCAGUAGGGAAUAUUGGGCAAUGGAGGCAACUCUGACCCAGCCAUGCCGCGUGCAGGAUGAAGGCGUUAUGCGUUGUAAACUGCUUUUAUAUAGGAAGAAAUAGACCUUGCGAGGUAAGUUGACGGUACUAUAUGAAUAAGCACCGGCUAACUCCGUGCCAGCAGCCGCGGUAAUACGGAGGGUGCAAGCGUUGUCCGGAUUUAUUGGGUUUAAAGGGUGCGUAGGCGGUUUAUUAAGUCAGUGGUGAAAGACGGUCGCUCAACGAUUGCAGUGCCAUUGAUACUGGUAGACUUGAGUGUGAUUGAGGUAGCUGGAAUGGAUAGUGUAGCGGUGAAAUGCAUAGAUAUUAUCCAGAACACCAAUUGCGUAGGCAAGUUACUAAGUCACAACUGACGCUGAGGCACGAAAGUGUGGGUAUCAAACAGGAUUAGAUACCCUGGUAGUCCACACUGUAAACGAUGAUAACUAACUGUUGGCUUUUGGGUCAGUGGUACAGAGAAAUCGUUAAGUUAUCCACGNGGUAAGGUAGCGCGACGUAGAAGUUAGAAGAGAGUUGNGNGNGAGNGCGACGACGACGACGAGGAGGAGGAG